ACUCAAAGGAAUUGACGGGGGCCCGCACAAGCGGAGGAACAUGUGGUUUAAUUCGAUGAUACGCGAGGAACCUUACCCGGGCUUGAAAUGCAUCUGACAGGAGCAGAGACGCUCUCUUCCUUCGGGACAGAUGUGUAGGUGCUGCAUGGUUGUCGUCAGCUCGUGCCGUGAGGUGUCGGCUUAAGUGCCAUAACGAGCGCAACCCUCAUCAUUAGUUACCAUCAGGUUAAGCUGGGGACUCUAAUGAGACUGCCAUCGUAAGAUGCGAGGAAGGUGGGGAUGACGUCAAAUCAGCACGGCCCUUACGUCCGGGGCGACACACGUGUUACAAUGGGUGGUACAAAGGGCAGCUACAUGGCGACAUGAUGCUAAUCUCCAAAACCACUCUCAGUUCGGAUCGGAGUCUGCAACUCGACUUCGUGAAGCUGGAUUCGCUAGUAAUCGCGCAUCAGCCACGGCGCGGUGAAUACGUUCCCGGGCCUUGUACACACCGCCCGU
This 498-nucleotide ribosomal RNA is filed under the name uncultured bacterium. RNAcentral's name for it is "bacterial SSU rRNA". It matches the Rfam family "Bacterial small subunit ribosomal RNA", at positions 899 to 1397 of the family's 1533-position model. The record is from RNAcentral.